Molecule: transfer RNA, 52 nt
Filed under: Grandidierella taihuensis
Lineage: Eukaryota; Metazoa; Arthropoda; Malacostraca; Amphipoda; Corophiidae
Description: tRNA-Ser
Source: RNAcentral
AGAAUAUUUUUAAGAGACUUCUAAUCUCUAACAAGCCUUUAGCUAUAUUCUU